Long non-coding RNA from Uranotaenia lowii, 2820 nucleotides. RefSeq lists it as uncharacterized. The transcript has 3 exons. Lineage: Eukaryota; Metazoa; Arthropoda; Insecta; Diptera; Culicidae. The record is from RefSeq and is a predicted model, not a curated record.
UCUCUUUUUGAAAUUUUGAACAAAACAGCUAAUAAAGAACUAAAAUAAACACUGCGCGUUAGUAUUUGAAUAGCUGUUUAAUCAACAGCCCAGUAAAAAGCCCAGAAAAAGAGCUGAUCAACUGUCAAUGCAUUUCUAUCGGUUUUGACCAAACUUCAUUGAACACUUCUAUGACAUACACACUAUAUAUAUUUCACUAACACUAAUUGAAAUUUUAACCAAGGUAGGUUCGGUGACUGAAACCAUUUAUCCACCUGUUUUCUUGUCUUGAUACUUCAUUGUGUAUUUUAAAAUAGCAUUAUAUAAUCACUGUUAUUAGAAAAUCGUGUUUGAAGUUAGGGUGAAAAUAUUAUUUUGCUUUCUCAAUAUCUCUAAAACAGAAUAUCUUUCUAGUAAAUUUUUACAAUCUAAAUGCAGGGUUUUCGAACUCCAUUAAGCUAACAACUCGAUUUGUUUUCAUUUGACUUAUUUGACCUCUUCAGAAAACCGCAUUUUUCGUUGCAUGAUUCUAUUUUUAAAUUGAACUUAUUUACAGGGUACAAUUCUUGAACAUUAGAUAGAAGCAAAGCAGUUGACUUUAAAUAGACAUUAUAAAACCGUUUGGGUUAUAACAUUUGAGUUUGUGUUACGUUAAUAAUCACAAAAAUAGCUGAACUCAAUAUUUGAAUAAGUAUAAAUUUAUCUCGACACAUUUUUAAAAUUCUGCUGUUUCGUCAUUUUGAAUUCUUACUAUAGAUAUUGAAAUUGGUGUUAAAAUUAUUUAAACCAGCUACAUUUACGUUUCGCGUGUCUAAGCAAAACAAAAAUAAAAUUGACCUUGAAUGUGCAUUGUUGUUUUAUACAAAAUUUCAAAGUUUUGAUUCCAGAUUUUAUUCAAUUUUUAUUUGCUGAGUUUACUCGACUUUUCUAUAAAAAUCCAUCGUAAAACGACUUCAUCGAAGGUACCAAAAUUACAUUUAAUUCUUUCAAAACUGGAACCAACAAAGAAAUUUCAGUUUAUUUUCAACUAUUUUAAGUUUUUUUCAGGUUUACUAUCUGGAAAUAAUAUACGUAUGUAUUUAUACGUAGUGAUAUUUUUUUGUACUGAUCGAGGUUGGUAUCGAGAGGACAUUACCUGGAAUACAUUUUCUGUAGUAGUAUGUAGCAUUCCGUUGGCGAUUAUGCUUCCGCAAGCUAAAGCUUGUAUGGAAACACUCGGACCUCACUUUCAUCAGUGGUUCAGCGCUGGAAACGACCAAAUCCGAAGUUAUCAGCUACUAGUCAUUCAUAACAAAUUGAAACUCGAGAAAAUACGCGUUGAGUUCAAAACAACCGGAGCAAUUUGGCAGAAAAUCAACUUUCCGGUCACCUAGGGAGCCAUGGUUGCCUUCAUCGCGUAGCCACUGAAGACGGAAGCUGCUUCCAAUAAGGACAAGAAGAAAAAAACAUCUAGACCAUCUGCGGGCCAACGAAAACUGCCCAAGGAACUUCAUUUAAAUCAGUAUGAUGAAAUUUGAAUAUCUAUCUCAAGUGAGGCAAAUCUGGACCGAACCAGACUUUCACCGCAACAUUGAAUUAUACUGUUCAACUGUUUUUGAAGAGCCGCCCAUCACACUCCAUGACGCCGCCCGCUUUUUAGGUUGGUUAUUCAGAUGUUCGUGGUUCCUGAUUCAACUCUUGAUCAAUGGAUAUACUUCAUUUGAUGCUACGAGGGACUCGAAUAUUUAUCGAAUGGACUGCUAUAAAACAAAUUUCAUAUGACGGUAUUGUGAAAUUCAGCAAGUGAAAUGCUAGAAAACGAAAGGAUUAAAAGAAGAAAACAAUCUUAUGCAGUCCCGUUGGAUUGGUUCUUUGUAACUGUUUUCAACGAGAUAAGAGCCGUGGAACCCAGGUAUGAUCUUAGAGUAAGUAGAGGAUUUUUAUUCUUCGUUCUGACCAGUUGAAUUCUUCGCUUUUUGUAACUCACUCAUUUUAAUCAAACUCCAUGUGUUUGAGAUUCUCAUGCGUUUCAAACCUAAAGUAAAAAAGCAAUUUAAUUCAAAAUGUUUAUUGUUUUUCUUUUUUUGAGAAAUAUUAAGAAAUGAAGGCUCACUUAAUUAAAAAAAAAACCUGAAGCAAUGAACUAUUUUUUUUAAAUGUGUAAAUAUUCGUAAGAACAAAUUACUGUUAAUAUUAAGUCGGAAUGUUUAAAAAAAUCUUAACUGUACAAAUACUAUACAUCAUUAAAUUUACUUCACACUUUGAACCUUCCUAUACCUGAACGAACUGUACUAUUAACGAGUUGCUGAUGGAAGAACCAAUAAAUCAAUAUAAAUACCUAAUAAGUAUCAGGAAUAUUUCACAGAUAUUGAUGAGGACUGCUUCAUUUUUGACAAUAUGUGUGUUUGCUAAAUUAAUGUGGCUCAUCGAAGAUUCCAAAGAUAUCUUCGGUUUAAAAAAAUUGAAUAGUUUUUUCUAAUUUAGAAAACAUCCGGAAAUAGGCUCGUGACGGUUUGUUUUGAAUCGAUUUAGUUUAGCAUUUAUUUUGCAAAGUGAGUGCAUUUUAUGGUAAAUAAAUGUUUUAAAAUCAAGAAAUAUCAGUGCUUUUCUUUAUAACAUAAAAUCUAAUGCCACAAACAUUUAUCAAAACUAUUUGUACCAUGUAAAUCUACUGUAAACAAUUAUAUUGGCCCCGAACAGAUAUUUACUUGAAAUAUCAUGGGUAGGAAAUCAUCGAGUUUAAUGUGUGAUAACACUGCUUAUGCCAAGGAAAUUACGUGAAAGUAACAGUUUAUAUUUUAGUGAAAUAAAUUUUUAUUAAUAUAAAUUCAUGUGAAAUUUCACAGUUUGAAAAAAAAAUAG